Molecule: ribosomal RNA, 528 nt
Filed under: Colletotrichum caricae
Lineage: Eukaryota; Fungi; Ascomycota; Sordariomycetes; Glomerellales; Glomerellaceae
Description: eukaryotic LSU rRNA
Rfam family: 5.8S ribosomal RNA (bases 207-360)
Source: RNAcentral
GGUCUCCGUUGGUGAACCAGCGGAGGGAUCAUUACUGAGUUUACGCUCUACAACCCUUUGUGAACAUACCUAUAACUGUUGCUUCGGCGGGUAGGGUCUCCGUGACCCUCCCGGCCUCCCGCCCCCGGGCGGGUCGGCGCCCGCCGGAGGAUAACCAAACUCUGAUUUAACGACGUUUCUUCUGAGUGGUACAAGCAAAUAAUCAAAACUUUUAACAACGGAUCUCUUGGUUCUGGCAUCGAUGAAGAACGCAGCGAAAUGCGAUAAGUAAUGUGAAUUGCAGAAUUCAGUGAAUCAUCGAAUCUUUGAACGCACAUUGCGCCCGCCAGCAUUCUGGCGGGCAUGCCUGUUCGAGCGUCAUUUCAACCCUCAAGCUCUGCUUGGUGUUGGGGCCCUACAGCUGAUGUAGGCCCUCAAAGGUAGUGGCGGACCCUCCCGGAGCCUCCUUUGCGUAGUAACUUUACGUCUCGCACUGGGAUCCGGAGGGACUCUUGCCGUAAAACCCCCAAUUUUCCAAAGGUGACCUCG